AUGAGGAAUACCCAUGUGUUGCUUAUGUCCUUGGUCUUACUCCUGCUAGCAUCAGAUGUGGUAGUGGAGGCAUCAAGAUAUUCUAGCAUUAAAGAAUUCGUAUGUGUGGAGAAAAUUUUCCCACCUCGAACAUGUGAUACCAAUGCUUGCGAAGAGUCAUGCUACAAACGUACAAGGCAAUACAAAUCUGGCGUGUGUGUUGCUGAGGGGUGCAAGUGCAAGUUAUGCAUAUAUCAGCCUCCGGCCAUCCAUAAUGAACAAAUGGGUUCUAACUAG
This 276-nucleotide ribosomal RNA is filed under the name Triticum aestivum (bread wheat). RNAcentral's name for it is "partial small subunit ribosomal RNA". Lineage: Eukaryota; Viridiplantae; Streptophyta; Magnoliopsida; Poales; Poaceae. The record is from RNAcentral.